GGGUCAGUAGGUUGGUCGUGCCACCGGUACGUACUGGUCUCACUGAUUCCUCCUUCCUGAAGAACCGUAAUGCCAUUAAUUUGGUGUUGCGGGGAAACAGGACUGUUACUUUGAAAAAAUUAGAGUGUUUAAAGCAAGCUAACGCUUGAAUACAUUAGCAUGGAAUAAUGAAAUAGGGCGAUCGAUCCUAUUUUGUUGGUCUCUAGGAUUGACGUA
RNAcentral lists this ribosomal RNA (216 nucleotides) under Glomeromycotina sp. RNAcentral's name for it is "partial small subunit ribosomal RNA". The stretch from base 40 to 216 matches the Rfam family "Eukaryotic small subunit ribosomal RNA", at positions 686 to 864 of the family's 1831-position model. The record is from RNAcentral. Lineage: Eukaryota; Fungi; Glomeromycota.